Gadus morhua (Atlantic cod) is the source of this 2110-nucleotide long non-coding RNA. Lineage: Eukaryota; Metazoa; Chordata; Actinopteri; Gadiformes; Gadidae. The record is from Ensembl.
AUGGCUACCAUCUCUGAACCGGACCCUGGACUCUCUGAGGAACCUGAGGACACGUCUUUGGACCGGAGGGAGCGCAAGAGAAGAUUUGCUGGUAGAGCAAAGAAGAAGGCUAAGUCCAGACGCCGUGGAAGCCGUCAGAGAGUAACAAAGGUCACCAUCUCUGAACCGGAGCCUGGACUCUCUGAGGAACCUGAGGACACGUCUUUGGACCGGGAGGAGACCAGGAAGAGAAGAUUUGGUAGGUGCCCCUUUAUAGAGAAUUUAAAAGAAAUAAUCCAGUCCAAAACAAUGAUCCAAAAAAGUAUGAUUUCCUCCAAAUACAUUUAAGGUUUUUUUAGCCGAAGUGACCGUGUGUGUGUGUGUGUGUGUGUGUGUGUGUGUGUGUGUGUGUGUGUGUGUGUGUGUGUGUGUGUGUGUGUGUGUGUGUGUGUGUGUGUGUGUGUGUGUGUCCUACUCCUGAACAGCUCUAUGGUUUCACAUCACUGUCAUUGUGAGCAUCGGACUGCUGAGUAUUCUCCUCAUCUCCCUGCGCUUCAGUGAGUCUAAAUCCUAUCCUCCUGAAUAGAAUUACAAUACAGUAAUCAUAUCAUUGAUUGUAUUAAUAGCAAUGAUAAUGUUAAAUAUUGUUUUUGUUAGAUUUAGUGAUAAUAGUAGGGUUAGCACACAUACACCGCACGCACACCCAUAAACACAGCAUACACACACACAAACAAUCCACACACACGUGCACAAACACACACGCACAUGCACACACACUGCACACACGGGCGUGCUGAUGCAGGCGUUUCAAGACAAAUGCAGCGCAGGACACCGCCUACACACACACCACACACACAUGCACACACACACGCACACACAUGCACGUGCAUACACACACUGCACACACGUGGAUGCAGAUGUUUCAAAACAAUGGCAAGAUUGAGAUAACAGCCCCGCCGUCGACACACUCUCCAACCUGAGCCUUAUGUCCAUCAAAGACACUUUUUUGCAAAACCUUAUUUUUCUUUAAACAUUCUCCAUCUCCUUGAGCCUCCAGAAAUGUCUUGUGAUAUUGAAAUCCCCCCUCCCCCCUGCCGACUGUAUUAGCUGUUUUAUUUUUCUUAUGUUUUAUGUGUAGGCUAUGUGUGACUGUAGGCUACUGCUGCUUGUCUUGGCCAGAUCACUUGAAGAGAUGUUUAAUCUCAAUGACACAUUCUUCUGUUAACAAAAAAAAAACAUCUCUCACGUCAGGUAGCCAAUGUACAAUCUGUAAUCUAGCCCUCACACCCCCCCCCCCCCCUCACCCCCCCCCCCCCACAAGCCUGUGCUUUAGUUCACUAUAGUUAGGUAGGUUGCUGCCUUAGCUAUUGCAACAUGAACACAUUUUUCAGCUGUUUGUUAUUAUUAUUUCCAACUAACCAAUAGUAGUUGCCAUGCAUUUUUUUUAGUAUCAAUGCACUUUGAGCCCUGAAUAACAGUAAAAGCUAUUGAAUGAUUGAUUUGCAUGCAUAGUCUACUACACUUUCCAUUAAACAAAUCCCCAAACAGUUAGCUGAACAUUAUAUGGUCGCAUCCUUCCACUCCCUGUUUUCUCACCCUGUUUAAACAAGAAAUCAACUGCAUUUGUCCCAGUGUUUGUGCUAUGGGAAAUUAAAGGUCCCAUGGCAUGCUACUUCAUGGAUGCUUUAAUAUAGGUAUUAGUGGGCCCCAAACACAGUAUUUGAAGAUGUUCCUGAAAUUCAGCCGUGGUCCAGAAUUACAGCCACUACGGGCAGUCGCACAUUGAGCUUUCCCCAAAUGUGCCGUUUCUGUGUCAGUAGCUUUAAUGCAAAUGAGGAGGAGAGAAGCGGGUCAAGAAGGAGGGUGGGGGUGUGGCCCUGAGCAGCUUGAGGCCACGGUACCAUGCGCCUGCUUACAGUGGAUGUUUCACAAUGACGAAGCAUACAACAAUCAAUCCCUUUCUUUUUCACACCACGCACAUACGCAGCUGUGCACAAACAUACACGGAAGCACACACACACGCACGCACAAACAACGCUAGCCAUACAAAGGCAGCGACACACUCACCCAGGUAAGAUGUUAUGUUUUGAAACGUAACGGCUCCGCCAUCGACACACGCGCAGGUAAGAAU